UACGGAAGGCAGCAGUGGGGAAUAUUGCACAAUGGGCGCAAGCCUGAUGCAGCCAUGCCGCGUGUAUGAAGAAGGCCUUCGGGUUGUAAAGUACUUUCAGUCGUGAGGAAGGUGUUAAGGUUAAUAACCUUAGCAAUUGACGUUAGCGACAGAAGAAGCACCGGCUAACUCCGUGCCAGCAGCCGCGGUAAUACGGAGGGUGCGAGCGUUAAUCGGAAUUACUGGGCGUAAAGGGCACGCAGGCGGUUAAUAAGUUGGAUGUGAAAUCCCCGGGCUUAACCUGGGAAUGGCAUUCAAGACUGGUUAGCUAGAGUCUUGUAGAGGGGGUAGAAUUCCAUGUGUAGCGGUGAAAUGCGUAGAGAUGUGGAGGAAUACCGGUGCGAAGGCGGCCCCUGGACAAAGACUGACGCUCAUGUGCGAAAGCGUGGGGAGCAAACAGGGAUUAGAUACC
Molecule: ribosomal RNA, 451 nt
Filed under: uncultured bacterium
Lineage: Bacteria
Description: bacterial SSU rRNA
Rfam family: Bacterial small subunit ribosomal RNA
Source: RNAcentral